CAAUCUUUCACCUGCCAAGAAAAGCUCUGCUUCCACACCAAAGCAGGACCUCGAGUUUCAAACUGAGGGGAUGACAGUCAGCAGCUUCCACCAAGACAAACCUGUGUCUGCUUUGCAGGAGCUUGUCAAGAAUCCUGGUGACUAAGGACUGGUUUGAAAAUAACCGGUAUUGUCCACGGGCUGAUCAUAGGAGUUGGUCUUUGAAUUUCACUCUUGUGGCCCAGGCUGGAGUGCAAUGGCGUGAUCUCAGCUCACUGCAACUUCUACCUCUCGGAUUCAAGUGAUUCUCCUGCCUCAGCCUCCCAGGUAGCUGGGUUUACAGUAUGUGAACUCUGCACAUACUGGCUCCCUUUCUGCUUCUGCCUGGAAGCAACCUGAAGCCUUCACCAGAAGUACACCAUGCUUCUUCUACAGCCCACAGAACCAAAAGCCAAAUAAACCUCAUGUAUAUAUCAUAUCAUUUGUGUUGCCAUAGAGGAAUACCUGAAGAUGUGUAAUUUAUAUAUUUGCGUAUAUAUAUAAAGA
Molecule: long non-coding RNA, 525 nt
Filed under: Homo sapiens (human)
Lineage: Eukaryota; Metazoa; Chordata; Mammalia; Primates; Hominidae
Description: HSALNT0403181
Source: RNAcentral